AUGGGCAUACCUUGCAUUUUCCAUGAAACUGUGAUGGAGGUGACGUGGGGCGUGAAGCAUAUCAUCCAUAGUCUAGUGCCUAUGGAAAAAUCAGAGCUGACUAAGGAGGAACGCCUCCCCAUGAGUCAAGGACUAAUAAUGUUCCUGAAUCGUAAAGGUUUUGAUGUCAAACCAGAGAUGGUCAAUGAGCGCAUUGUUCUUUCAGCAUGUGCCUUUUAUGAUUGCGAUGAAAUUGAGAAGAAACAUGAUGCGUGCUUGAGACGCGCUGGCAAGCAACUUAAGGAUGUGUCUGGCAUUAACACCCAGGGCUGGAGCUUACUCAAACUCUCAACAGCUCUGAUGCUUAUAUCUUUCUCCGAAGAAGAAAUUCUAGUUGGUGAUCCAGAAGAGGUAAAUCCUAAUAUCUGUAAAUCCUUUGCUUUCAGGUACAUUUGUUUAUUUACAGCUGAGGAGCUGUCUAAGUUCCAGGAUGAUGCACACGAAUAUGACGACAAGAUCUCAAAGUACCCAUGCCGAAGAAUAUAUGAAGAACUAGUGUGUGCCCUUGAAGCUAGAGCAGCGAAUAGAAUACUUUUGACCUCCUUGGUUAAGGAGGCCGGUUCCUGCUAUUGA
This 612-nucleotide ribosomal RNA is filed under the name Triticum aestivum (bread wheat). Its description in RNAcentral is "partial small subunit ribosomal RNA". Lineage: Eukaryota; Viridiplantae; Streptophyta; Magnoliopsida; Poales; Poaceae. The record is from RNAcentral.